GUCCACGCCGUAAACGAUGUCAACUAGCCGUUGGGUACCUUGAGUAUUUAGUGGCGCAGCUAACGCAUUAAGUUGACCGCCUGGGGAGUACGGCCGCAAGGUUAAAACUCAAAUGAAUUGACGGGGCCCGCACAAGCGGUGGAGCAUGUGGUUUAAUUCGAAGCAACGCGAAGAACCUUACCUGGCCUUGACAUGCUGAGAACUUUCCAGAGAUGGAUUGGUGCCUUCGGGAACUCAGACACAGGUGCUGCAUGGCUGUCGU
Molecule: ribosomal RNA, 262 nt
Filed under: uncultured bacterium
Lineage: Bacteria
Description: partial 16S ribosomal RNA
Rfam family: Bacterial small subunit ribosomal RNA
Source: RNAcentral